This 600-nucleotide ribosomal RNA is filed under the name uncultured bacterium. RNAcentral describes it as "bacterial SSU rRNA". It matches the Rfam family "Bacterial small subunit ribosomal RNA", at positions 338 to 945 of the family's 1533-position model. The record is from RNAcentral.
CCUACGGGAGGCAGCAGUGGGGAAUAUUGCACAAUGGGCGAAAGCCUGAUGCAGCGACGCCGCGUGAGGGAUGACGGCCUUCGGGUUGUAAACCUCUUUCAGCAGGGAAGAAGCGAAAGUGACGGUACCUGCAGAAGAAGCGCCGGCUAACUACGUGCCAGCAGCCGCGGUAAUACGUAGGGCGCAAGCGUUGUCCGGAAUUAUUGGGCGUAAAGAGCUCGUAGGCGGCUUGUCACGUCGGGUGUGAAAGCCCGGGGCUUAACCCCGGGUCUGCAUUCGAUACGGGCUAGCUAGAGUGUGGUAGGGGAGAUCGGAAUUCCUGGUGUAGCGGUGAAAUGCGCAGAUAUCAGGAGGAACACCGAUGGCGAAGGCGGAUCUCUGGGCCAUUACUGACGCUGAGGAGCGAAAGCGUGGGGAGCGAACAGGAUUAGAUACCCUGGUAAGUCCAGCCGUAAACGGUGGGAACUAGGUGUUGGCGACAUUUCCACGUCGUCGGUGCCGCAAGCUAACGCAUUAAGUUCCCGCCUGGGGAGUACGGCCGCAAGGCUAAAACUUAAAGGAAUUGAACGGCNGAGACGAGCGAGACGACGACGAGGAGAG